UUGUAUGUGGCAUUGCCUGCUCCUCGUUUCUUUAGAAGCAGAAAUACAUCCAUAACAUGCUGUAUUUUGUGGGAGAAUUCUUGGGCCACACCC
This is a small nucleolar RNA of Sorex araneus (European shrew), 93 nucleotides long. RefSeq annotates it as small nucleolar RNA U109. The transcript has a single exon. The record is from RefSeq and is a predicted model, not a curated record. Lineage: Eukaryota; Metazoa; Chordata; Mammalia; Eulipotyphla; Soricidae.